UCCAACAUUAUCCUCCAUCGCUCAGUCUGGAUCCUCAGCUCCUCCCCCAUGCGUGCGGGGCUUGAUUUGAUCAAAUCCUUCAACUUGGACCACUUAGGCUCAGCCGCACUUUUUACAACACUGCAUUUGGGCAACGCCACAACUUGCGCAGCACUUCAUCUUCAACAGCCGAGCGGAAUUUCACACCCCGAAAAGGCAGCGAGAGGAGUGGGGGGAAAAGACUUCCAGCAUCCACAGCAUCCUUCUCUAUCUCAGAAAUGGAGAGGGAGGUCAUAUUUUGCCCAAAGUGGCAUGGUGCGCUUUGGUUUUUGCUUUUGAUGAUGCUCUGUUCCUUUCAUGCCGCCAAUGCUGAGAUAACUUGCAGGUCAUGCCAGCCUGGAAAUAAGUGGCGUGCACAGCAGUUACUGCUGAAAUUCGACACAAGUCAAUCCGCAACAGGAUUAAAGGAAGAAGUUUUGGGACAUGGGGAUGGGGCAGGGAGAUCCGGUGCUGCAAGUGCUGAAAGUCGGCGGCUCCGUUGCGUAGCUGGGUCUGCUGAAUGCGCUCCGGAUCGGACGGAAUACAAAGAGCCAAGGCUGAAACGGAAUACAGACAAGAUGCACACAAAAGGCGAAAUUGGUGAGAGCGAGUUUGCAAACAUGAAAGUUUCUCAUGUUAAUAUGAGUGGUCAGCAGAAGGCCAGUGGUGGUGCAGGUUUUACCUCUGCCACCCGCUACAGAAAGCGCGCCAGAAGGGACAGUGAUGAUAAUAAAGCCAGAUCCCCCGGUUCAACCCAGAGUCAAGAACCGGGAGAGAGCAGGAGCUCAGCGGCCGGACGCAGAGUGCCGCGCUCUGAAUUGCGCUGGAGCGGAGAGGAGCGGAGAGCCGCCGGUCAGAGGCAGGAGGAACUAAAACUUAACAGUUCAACGUUCGCCUUGACCGGGGAUUCAUCUCACAACCAGGCUAUGGUGCACUGGUCCGGGCAGAACAGCAGUGUGAUUUUGAUGCUGACCAAACUAUUUGACUUCAACCUCAACAGUGUGACUGAGAGUUCAUUAUGGAGGUCAACUGACUACGGAGCAACGUACCAGAAGCUGAAUGACAAAGUAGGAGCCAAAACAAUACUCAGUUAUUUGUACGUGAGCCCGAACAACAAGAGAAAGAUCAUGCUGCUAACUGAUCCAGAGGUGGAGAGCAGUCUACUGAUCAGCUCUGAUGAAGGAGCUACCUACCAGAAGUACAGGCUGAACUUCUACAUCCUCAGCCUGCUCUUCCACCCCGAUCAGGAAGACUGGAUUCUGGCCUACAGCCACGACCAAAAGCUAUACAGCUCGGUGGAGUUUGGGAGGAGGUGGCAGCUGGUACAUGAGAGAGUGGCUCCCAAUCGUUUCUACUGGUCGAAAAUGGGUUUGGACAAAGAGCCGGGCUUAAUUCACCUGGAAACCAGCAUCUCUGAAGGACAGGCGCUGUAUGUCACCUGCAAGCUCCAGAACUGCACAGAUGCCAACAAGGGCAAACCAUUCCCCGGAUACAUUGACCCCAAUUCUCUGGUGGUGCAAGAUGAGUAUGUGUUUGUCCAGGUGUCAACCGCAGGGAGGCCAAUCUACUAUGUGUCUGCUAAAAGAGAUGUCUUUACACCCAUGAAGUUGCCCAAGUACACCCUGCCCAAGGACCUGCAUGUGAUUAGUACGGAUGAAAACCGUGUGGUUGCAGCCGUACAGGAGUGGAACCAGAAUGAAACCUACAACCUGUAUGUGUCAGACACGUCGGGGGUAUACUACACCCUGGCUUUGGAGAACGUGGUCAGCAGCAUGGGCCCCGAGGGCAACGUCAUGGUCGACCUCUAUGAGGUAGCAGGACUAAAGGGGAUGUUCCUAGCCAACAAAAGGACAGAUAACCAAGUGAAGACGCACAUCACCUACAACAGAGGCAGAGACUGGAGGUUACUGCAGGCACCGAGCAAAGACCUGAGGGGCAACAGCAUCCACUGCGUGCUACCGUACUGUUCAUUACAUCUUCAUCUUCACGUGUCUGCAAAUCCCUACACAUCUGGAAACAUAGCCAGCAGGGACUCAGCGCCGGGGAUCAUUGUCGCAUCAGGCUCCAUUGGUGCAGAGCUGACCACCAGCAAUGUCAGUGUAUUUAUCACCUCGGAUGCAGGAAACACGUGGAGACAGAUCUUCGACGAGGAGUAUGCAGUGCUGUAUCUCGACCAAGGAGGAGCCUUGGUCGCAAUAAGACACACUCCGCUUCCCAUCCGACACCUGUGGUUGAGCUUUGACGAAGGACGGCAGUGGAACAAGUACAGCUUCACCAACACUCCUCUGUUCGUGGACGGUGUGCUGGGAGAGCCUGGGGAGGAGACUCUCAUCAUGACGAUAUUCGGCCACGUCAGUCAUCGCUCAGAAUGGCAGCUGGUGAAAAUAGACUUCAGGUCCAUCUUCAACAGGAGGUGUACAGAGGCGGAUUAUCAGACGUGGCACCUACACAACCAGGGCGAGCCGUGCCUGAUGGGAGUGAAAAGAAUAUAUCGGAAACUGAAGUCCACAUCCAGGUGUGUUAUGGGAAAGAUGUACUCUGUGUCGAUGACGUCGGGCCCCUGUGACUGUACGGAGGCAGACUUUGAAUGUGAUUAUGGCUACGAGAGACGGACCAACGGCAAAUGCACACCUGCCUUUUGGUUCCAUCCAUCAUCGAUUUCCAGAAGUUGCACCACGGGGAUGACUUUCCUUAACAGCACUGGCUACAGGAAAGUGGUCUCUAAUAACUGUACCGCUGGAAUCAGCACAGAGUACACAGCCAAGAGGCAGCAGUGUCCCACCCAAGCACCCAAAGGUCUCCACCUGGUCACCAGCGAGGGCACGCUGACAGCCACACUGGGCACCAAUGUCACAUUCCUUGUUUUUCUGGAGGAGGGCGACGGGGCGAGGACAAGCAUCACACUGGACUUCGGAGACGGCCAUGCUCUGACCUACUCCAAUGUGAGCUCCAUUGAGGACGGGAUCAAACAUAUCUACAAAGCUGUGGGAAUCUACCGGGUGACGGCCACUGGAGAGAACAGCCUCGGCUCAGAGACGACCUUGCUCUACCUGCAUGUAACAUGUCAGCUGGAGUAUAUCCAUCUCUCAGCUCCCUUUGUGGCGGUGAGGAAUAAGGAAGUGAACCUCACUGCUGUUCUGUGGCCCAGCCAAGUGGGAACGGUCACCUACAUCUGGUGGAUCGGAAAUAACACGGAGCCACUAAUCACCCUAGAGGGAAGUGUGGCGUGCACGUUCUCCCAGGAGGGCAUCAGUACAGUCACUGUGCAGGUGUCUGCAGGGAACGCUAUUCUGCAGGACAGAAAAAACAUUGCUGUCCACGAAUAUUUCCGAUCUCAUCUGCUCGCCUUUUCAUCAAACCUGGAUGACCACAACCCUGACGUUGCAGAAUGGAGGCUGGAUGUAAGCCGAGUCAUCAAGAACUCUCUGAUCCAGGCCACAAGCGUGAGAGAGGAUCAUCUUCUGGUCACCGUCCUCCCCGGUUUACCCACAGUGGCAGAAUUUUUCCUUCUACCUGACAAACAGUUAACUGAGGGGAAACCAGAGAAGAGCUCUGCUCAUUUAGAUCAGCUCUCUGAGGUGCUGCUCAGUGCCUUAAAUCAAAACCUUGUCCAGUUCACAUUGCGGCCAGGGGUCCAAGUCACUGUGUACGCAGCUCACCUAUCAGCAGCGCCCCUAGUGGACACCAGCGAGAACCACAGUGGCUCUGCCAUGCUAAUGCUGCUUUCAGUAGUGGUUGUGGGUUUAGCUGUAUUUGUCAUCUACAAAUUCAAGAGAUCCCAGGCCUCAACGUCUAUGCGCAAAUGCAGAACGAAAAAGAACAAGAAAUGAUGAGUCCAGCUAAUCCAACAGAGGCCACGCCCAGCUCACAGCGGGAUUUGGUGCAUUCUUUGGAGAUUCUGGACACAGAGUUUAACUCACGGCCCAUCGAAGUGAAAUGGUCCGGUGAAGGAGUGAACGAGAGCUAAACAAAAAUGAGUAUGAUGAAAAGUACAGCUGCUUCUCGGCAGUACAACACACAUUGUUCUCCUCAGUACUGUCACCUUUUAAUCAACUCAGAAAACAGAUUGGUGACAAAUUAAAGAAAAAUCUAGUAUGAGGUGUCUUAGUUAAAGGAAGGUUCCAUUAUGAGCCUCUCAGCCACAACGCUCCUUGUCAUAGAUACUUCAAGUCUAUGGGACUAGUUGCACUCACAUGGGUUUUCAGCUGGGUUGGGAUCGGGUGCUAUGAAGGCCACAGUAUAUGAUUCAUGUCAUUUUUAUAUUCAUCAAACCGUUUCAUAAACCCUAUCUGAAGUAUCAGCAUUAGCAUUUUCUCAUGUGUCUCACCUCAUUUAUUUUGGUUUUUCCUUUCAUUUGUCACCCAUUUGUAUGUUGUGAUAUGAUAUUUGACUGUGAUAGCCUAACAUAAUGUCUGUUUCCCCAGCUUUUCUUAAAUGUAUGUAAAAAGUAUUUUUUCCAGAGGUAAAGAAAUUGUGCUAGGUGUUUGUGGCUCUAUGAAAUUUUAGGGUUUAACACCACUACCUGUUGAAUGUCAGUGCAACCAUGUCAUUAGCACAUAGUCACAUGUUGUGUUCUGUUUCAGUUUUCUUUAAAGUGAGACUGAGUAAGUUUUGAGAGAACAAAUAGCAAAUUGUACAAAUGAAAUGUUGAAUUUAUGACCAGAUACACAUUCGUCCCCAAUUCAAUACACUUUACAGCGUUUUGCCAAAACGACUAGUAGCUUACCGUGGCUAAUGUUAGCUAGUGUUAGCAAGAUUUGAUUGGAUAUUGCUGUGUAAUUGAUGUUACUGAGUCAGUUUACUGACUUGAGCAUUGUUUUCUUCUUGUGCCAUUGUUACAGUAGUAUUAGUAUUUGCCUUGUGGCUACAGUGGUUGGUGUUCAAAAAACUUUCAUAGUCUCACUUUGAUAGCUGCUUUUCUGUUUUCGUACAUCCUUUCUCAUCCAAUUUAAAAUUUAAUCAAUACUAUUUAUUUUUGAAACACUUCUUUUUCAGUAUGUAAAUGCCAGCUGACUUAUCUGGUGAAAGAAGUUUUACAGGUGCAUUAAUCAAGAUUUUUUACAUUAACAGUGACUCAAAUAACUGUGUACGCCCACUAAGAAUUGUCAGCAAAUUCUAAAAAUCCAUAGCGUUUUAACAGUAACUAACGUCGAUCCGUGUCUGAAACUGUGCCGUAUUGGGUCCUUGAAUUUGAGGGAAUUGGGUCUUAAUGCAGCAUAAAAGGAUGUAAUGCAACCAGCUAUAUUUUAUAGAUUUACUUUCUUGUACAAAAUAUCCUCUUAAAACCUGCUUUUUUUUCUCCCUCUCCUUUUUACUCCCAGGAUGUAUGAAACCUCAUGUACAUGUGAAAUUCUCCACAGAACUCCCCACGUACAUCGUCUAAACUCUGGAUCACCACUCCAGCUGUGUCAUGGAUAUUUUUUACCCUUUGGGAAACAAUGGUUUUGAGCUUUAUACCUGUGCAUGUUGGACCCUGCUGACACAUACUGUGCUCUGUUCAAACCAGAAGAAACUAUGUACAGGUUUUAAAUGUUCUUUUAACAUAUGUCCGAUAAAUUAAACAUUUUAAAAAUGUAUUUAUACAAGUCAGAUACAUAAUUCAGAGGGAACGCCAGCAUGAACUAGAGUGGAAAAAAUGAAAUAAGCAACACUGUUUUGGUUUUGCUUACAAAUCUGAGAUUGGUUUGCUGUUCUAUGAAGCUAACAGCAGUAGUGUAUUAUUUAUUCAUAUCAAUAUACUUUUAUGAAGUAUGUUAUUGAAGUUAAUUACACAUUUAUUUUCUAAAUUCAUGAAUGUCUAUUAUAAAUUUGUGUAUUUUAAUAACAAAUGUCAUACUAAACAGAAAUGCUGUUAUAAAAUAUGAAUAGGGUACUUCAAAGCUUUUGGUCCAUUGUCUCUUGGAAAGCUGAUUUAUGGCACAAUACACAUUUUCUACUGUUUUUUUUUCUGAUUUUAAUUUAUUAACAGAAGUACAGGGUUUGGUUUUCUGGUCUAAUGUAACAUUUGCUGUAAAUCUAAUUCUUCUGGUACUAUUUAUGAUACAUACCAGUUUGUAAAAUGUUUUGUGCUUCAGACCACUCAAUGGUUUUGGACUGAAAGUGAUCCCCAAAUAUCACCAGACAACACACCUGGGGGAGGUAUUCCAAAAUCGUCCUCAGACACACACCCCCACUGAAACUCAGAUUUACGGUGGCAGUUAGACUUCUUCUUUGUGAGAAAAUCUGAAGAGCAUGUCAGCGAGAAAGAGAGAGGCAGAGAGAGGUUAAGAGAGAUGGAAGAGUGCUUUUUGGGGUUGUGACGCAUUAAGAGCAUCCGAUUGGACAGAAUAAAGAAGAGGUUGACUUCUUGAAUACUUAAUAUGGCCAGCCAAGCUCAAGGCUGGCUAAGGUUGGUGACACAUUCAGGCUAAUGUCCUGACCCGCUCUCGAGUAGCACCCAUUUUCAUCCCAGCUCAUUAUACGGAGCAGGAGAACUAGAGCGCAGAUGCUACCAGGCUACACGGAUGGUUAGCUUGUUCAGAAGACUGCCAAGCCAUGUGGUACUUUGUGUGUGAAAUCUGACAGAUGUAAAUGCCUGAUUGACGCCUUUAAAAUCUUCGGAGGCAACUUUUCCAGAUUAGUUUUCCCACUUUUUAAUUUAUUUAUCCACAAAUACAGGGGGAGCGUGGUUUUGUCAGCACUGGAUGAACUUUUCUACAAUUAUUCGGUCAUAACUGUACAGAAAUUACCACAGUAGAUUCACCUUCAACGUAAUCAGUGGAGAAUGUAAGCAUAGGCCAUGCAGAAGAGUGAAAACUCACACUGGCUUCUUUGCAAAGCAUUAUUUCAUAUGACCUCUGUAACAGUGUUCAGACCCAUUACACACUAUACCAAGUACUGAGAAGUUGCUGCAAUUCAUUUUAGAUGAGUCUCAAGUGAAUUGCUUUUCAAUUGCAAUUGUGGAAUAUAUAGCAAAAUACCUUCGUAGCUCUGUAGUGACUAGCCAAAAAUAUUGAUAAGAAAAAGUGACGCUGUGGUGGGCCAUGAGGUUUUUUACCCCCUGUGGGAAAAUAUCUCUAAGAACAUCAUUAUUCUGAACUCUGGGAUUCCUCUUUAGUAGGACUCUUGCCUUUAAGAUUACAGAUACAAACAAAUAUUAAGUGAUGCUUUUGACACAAAGUCACAUAAAUUGUUGAAGUGAGUGGUAGGUUGCUUUCAAGAUUGGCCUACCAACCAAGCAAUUGGCCCCAGACUCAGUCGGGGGACUCAGAGGUGCUAGAUUCACUGUGUAUAAAUUAGUUUGUGAUAAUCUAAUUAAUUGCAAAUGUGUUUGUCAAUAAUGUAUAUACUGUUGAAAUUCAUUAUAAAUUGAAAUGAUAAAGGCCUUAAGAUAACAUCAUCAUGCAUCAUUGCAUCAUUACCUAGUCGUAAGGACCCAUCUUUUAGAGGGGCCCUAAGUUAUGAUCUGCCCUUUAUGUGUUUAAUGUGUUAUGCUACAUGGUGCAUUUUUAAGUUUCCACAAACUAACUACUAACAAAUUCAUACGGAAGGCACAGAGAUUGGGAGAAAUUAGAGGGUCAUGAAGGGCUAACAUCUCAUUUUGCCCUGGGGCUGGGUUUAAGUGGGUUAUUACGCCCCUGGUUGCUUAUUUAGCAAACACUACCAAACAAGGAAGCUGUUUGCCAUGUUUGCAGGUCCUGACUUGCAUACAGUGACUAACCAACAGUUGCUCAGGCAGUAUUACUUGUUUCACGCCUCGUGGCUCUACACCAUAACAAACGCUGGACAUGCUACAGACAGAAAACCAGUUAAACUGAAGAGUGAAUGUGAUAAAAUUGCUGUUUUUCUGGGCUGGAAAUAGUAUGGUGGCGUAUCCUGGCAGUGUGUUCACACACGUAGAGAUACAAAGAGCCUGAAAGAGGUGGUAUUAUGCUCAUUUUCAGGUUCAAAAUCCAAUUUAGGGGUUGUACCAGAACAACAAUGGUUUACAUGGUUUAAUUUAAAAAAAACACCAUAU
Micropterus salmoides (largemouth bass) is the source of this 8014-nucleotide RNA transcript. It is a transcript of the gene named VPS10 domain-containing receptor SorCS1, with no coding region annotated. The transcript is spliced from 27 exons. The record is from RefSeq and is a predicted model, not a curated record. Lineage: Eukaryota; Metazoa; Chordata; Actinopteri; Centrarchiformes; Centrarchidae.